RNAcentral lists this ribosomal RNA (444 nucleotides) under uncultured bacterium. Its description in RNAcentral is "partial 16S ribosomal RNA". It matches the Rfam family "Bacterial small subunit ribosomal RNA", at positions 338 to 795 of the family's 1533-position model. The record is from RNAcentral.
CCUACGGGUGGCAGCAGUGGGGAAUAUUGGGCAAUGGAUGCAACUCUUACCCAGCAAUGCCGCGUGAAUGAAGAAGGUCUUCGGAUUGUAAAAUUCUUUAAUUAGUGACGAAAAAAAUGACGGUACCCAAGUAAUAAGCCUCGUCUAACUACGUGCCAGCCGCCACGGUAAUCCGUAGGGGGCACGCGUUGUUCGGAAUUACUGGGCGUAAAGUGUGUGUAGGCGGUUUAGCAAGUUCGAAUUGAACUACCUAGGGCUUAACUCUGGUGCUGCUUCUAAAACUGCUAUACUUGAGUGCAGUAGAGGAAAGUGGAAUUCAUAGUGUAGCGGUGGAAUGCGUAGAUAUUAGGAGGAACAUCAGUGGCGAAGGCGACUUUCUGGACUGUAACUGACGCUGAGGCACGAAAGUGUGGGGAGCAAACAGGAUUAGAUACCCCGGUAGUC